CCAGCUUCUAACCAUGGAAGCUUUGUGUUUUCUGUAUAAGCUGUCCUUGACUACGGACAAAGAAUGGGUACCGAGUGUUCAGUUGGCAUCAUAAUAGGAAACAGAAUUCUACACAGAUGGUUCAACGGAACAGAGUUUCUUGAGGGGCAUAUUUAUGGAGGGGUAAGGAGACCAGCAAGGGAUAUUGAGGCACCCAGGGCUAAACUUAGAGGGAAGCUGUCAUCACCCUAGGGCCUGAGGAGGAAGGGGAGAAAAUACUGUUUGGGGGGCCUGGUGGGAGCUGUAGCUGGGAGGAGGACCAUGAGGGAGAAACCAUAGUCAUGGAAGGAUGUUGUCACUGCCAGGACCAAGACACCAAGACUGUGUGCUAGGCACUGAGUUAGAGUUGAAGACCCUCAAGAAUUCCACUGACAACUGAAUCAUCAAAGGGAACCGAGCCCUGCCCAAGGACAUACAGUUGUUUUCCUCUUCCUUGUCCUUUGGAGAAGCACAGCUGAAGCUUCCUGCCCACACCCCAGCCCCUCCUCCUUGAGCAUGAAUGUGCAGACCACCCACCGCCCCAUGCUUGUAUCUACAACAGCUAUGAGGAAGAACAUACAGAUUAAUCACCCUGCUGCGGGAUGCCAGCUACCCAGUGGCUCUGGCAGCCCCAGUCAAUGGAUCCUGCAGUGUAGCCUUCAUCAGUAGAGCUGCCACUGCCAGCACCCAAAAGCUCAAGUUACCCUUCUGAUAAGAGGAAAUUCGCGUCAAGUCACAUAGAAUCACUGAAUAUUUGCACUUGGAGGAUCACCUGGCCUAAUUCUUCUGCUUUACACAUGCAGAUGCUGAAGGAGAGAAGUUAAAGAACCUGUCCAAAAUCGCACAGCUAGUUAGUAAUAAAGCUUGGGUGGAAUUCUGCUUUUCUGACUCCCAGAUUAGUAUUUC
Molecule: long non-coding RNA, 924 nt
Filed under: Homo sapiens (human)
Lineage: Eukaryota; Metazoa; Chordata; Mammalia; Primates; Hominidae
Description: HSALNT0366131
Source: RNAcentral